UGGGGAAUUUUGGACAAUGGGCGAAAGCCUGAUCCAGCCAUGCCGCGUGAGUGAAGAAGGCCUUCGGGUUGUAAAGCUCUUUUAGUCGGAAAGAAAAGAUCAUAAUGAACAAUUAUGAUUCAUGACGGUACCGACAGAAAAACGCACCGGCUAACUACGUGCCAGCAGCCGCGGUAAUACGUAGGGUGCGAGCGUUAAUCGGAAUUACUGGGCGUAAAGGGUGCGCAGGUCGGUUUUGUAAGUCAGAUGUGAAAUCCCCGGGCUUAACCUGGGAAUUGCGUUUGAAACUGCAAGACUAGAGUGCAGCAGAGGGGAGUGGAAUUCCGAUGUGUAGCAGUGAAAUGCGUAGAGAUGUAGGAAGAACACCGGAUGGCGAAGGCAGCUCCCGUAGGGUUNACNCGU
Molecule: ribosomal RNA, 402 nt
Filed under: uncultured bacterium
Lineage: Bacteria
Description: bacterial SSU rRNA
Rfam family: Bacterial small subunit ribosomal RNA
Source: RNAcentral